UACGAAGGGGGCUAGCGUUGCUCGGAAUUACUGGGCGUAAAGGGAGCGUAGGCGGACAUUUAAGUCAGAGGUGAAAUCCCGGAGCUUAACUUCGGAACUGCCUUUGAUACUGGAUGUCUUGAGUGUGAGAGAGGUAUGUGGAACUCCGAGUGUAGAGGUGAAAUUCGUAGAUAUUCGGAAGAACACCAGUGGCGAAGGCGACAUACUGGCUCAUUACUGACGCUGAGGCUCGAAAGCAUGGGGAGCAAACAGG
This 253-nucleotide ribosomal RNA is filed under the name uncultured bacterium. Its description in RNAcentral is "partial 16S ribosomal RNA". It matches the Rfam family "Bacterial small subunit ribosomal RNA", at positions 524 to 776 of the family's 1533-position model. The record is from RNAcentral.